Molecule: long non-coding RNA, 1409 nt
Filed under: Chloebia gouldiae (Gouldian finch)
Lineage: Eukaryota; Metazoa; Chordata; Aves; Passeriformes; Passeridae
Description: Erythrura gouldiae (Gouldian finch) lncRNA (ENSEGOG00005011874.1)
Source: RNAcentral
ACAAGCUUUAUGGGGCCUUCCAUCUUUUGCUCAUGUGCAGAAGGCAAAGGGAGGUUUGCUGAUUAUUUAAAGGAGGUCAGGGUUUGACAUCAAUCUGUUCCCUCAUCCUGCCCUUGGAAUUCUCCUUUCCCAUUGCAAGCUAUCGGUUGGAGACAGACAGGUUUCAGGACCAGGCCUGGUGUGCUACCUGUGUGUAUGACCAGGAUAUAGCUGCAUCUCGGUUCCUGCAUGGAGAUUCCCAACCACUCCCUCACUACUGGCUGGAUUUCCUGGGCCGUGUGUUGGAGCAGAUGCAAACUACUUACACAAGAGGGCACAGACCUGGCUGGAUCUGGAUUCAGUGGGAGUGGGGCCACAGGGAGCAAAGCACCAGAUGCUGCCAGUGGCUCUCAGUGAGGAGCACUUCAUGCAAGUCCCACCUGUGUCCCUGUUCAGUGUCAUGAUCUAGGAAUGCAGCUAUUGCUCAGGCAGUUGCCAGCUGGCCACAGCAACUACAGGGCUGAUGUGCACCUACCAACCUCCGUGGAGAGGGGCCUGAAAGACACUAAGAGAAGCCUGAAGUUAUUGGGGUUUGCUACAGAUUUUGGACAUGCUUGCAACACAAGCAGUGGCUCUCCCUCUCUCUCUCCUUCUCCUGGCCUCUCUGUGGCACAUGAGAAAGGGCAGAGGGGUGAAAGAAAUGGGCUUGUCUGCAGAUAGGAGACUGUCUGCUGGACUGAGGCUGGAUCCCACAUGGAAGCCUUAACCUGAGUGGAAAAUGCCCACUUGAAUAGCAGCUGGAUCUGAACCCAUAAUUACCUCUGCCAUCACGUGUCUUUGCAGCUGUGUGCACAAACAAAUGACUUGUCCGUGUGCUGCUCGCUCCUCACACCACACACUCCUUGGUCUCUGUCUUUCAAAAAGAACAAAACACCUGGUCUGAUCCUCAUGGAGAGGAGUGGGGACCUCUGUAGGGACUUCCAGGACAGCUGUACCCUGAGUCACAAUCAGCCCCGUGGCAGAUAUCAAAUGCUGUUUUUCCCUAGCAGUCUGCUGAUGUUAUCACUGUUUCUUUGAGGAGUGAGAAACAACAAGAUCCUACAAUGACAAGCCACAAUGUCUCUUAUGGUACACAAAAACAGGUAAAAAACCCACCACCACCACCAAAAAACAAGAAGAAACCUUCCCAAAUAAUUGCCAAAAAAAGAGCAUUUCAUGUCCCUUGUGUUCUCAGUACCAAUCAUCUUACAGACAAUUAGCUCAUGAUCUGCCAAAGGGGAGAAGGGAUCAUCAUGAAAGACAGACAUAAAGCAGAUAGAAAAUCAGACCUGGAGAGGAGAACAGGACUGUUCAGGGGAAUCAUUACUCUUAUACUCAAAACUCUAAAUAAUAACCAUAUUUACUAAGCUUUCAGGCUCACAAUCCCUGGG